This is a non-coding RNA of Paramisgurnus dabryanus, 1400 nucleotides long. Lineage: Eukaryota; Metazoa; Chordata; Actinopteri; Cypriniformes; Cobitidae. The record is from RefSeq and is a predicted model, not a curated record.
AUUAGCUGUUUUCUAUCAGGUUAAGAAUAACUGUGAUCAUAUUAUAAUGAAGUAAUCGAAUUUGGUUAUCUGGUCUUCCUGAUGUUAGAACAUUUAUAUAAAAAACAUAUUUAAAAAACGUAUUUCUGUAACGUUUAAUUUCCUUUUUUGAUGAAAGUGUGUCUGUGUUCAUCAAGACAUGAAGACUAUGGAGUGGGACAAGAGAAGGAUGAUGGGGUAUAUAUUCCAAUAGACACAUUAAGUCACAUUGUGAUUUCAGUGAAAGCUGAUAAAUACAGAGGGCUGGACAGUGGUUUCAUUCAUUAGGUAAAGAGGUGGGACAAGGAUGCUGACAGGACAGGAGGAGGUGACAUUCAGGUUAGUGACAGUACAUCAGGGCCACCAUUUAAUUUAAUGUUAAUUUAAUUGCUUCCAAAAUCAAUACUUGACAAAUCUUUAGAAUUAUAUCUGCAAAGCUGAAUUUCUCAUAGGUGGAUAAAGUAUGACAGCAAUUGUGAAGACCUUAGACGUGCAGUAUAUGGUUCUUCUCUCUUUCAUUUAUAUUGAUUUGACUUAAUUUUCUUGGUAAAUAAUAAUGGGGAUAUUCCUAAUAUAAUAUAUUUUAAAUACAUGCUUAGAACAUAUCUCAUUUGCUUUGUAUCUAAAUGAAAAGUACCUCUUUAAGGUCUAAGCUAUGUUUCAUUUUAUUUAGACAUUCAACGCAGACAUUUUCAUCCAAAGCAACUUGAGGAAGAAAACAGAAGCAGUUCAUCCUAAAAGUGGGCUGCUGUAAUGUUUACAUCUAUGGAAAGAGGAGCUGAGAAGAAAAGAUAGGCUGGAAAGCAGUACUUCUUGUUGAGGACAAUCCUGAAUAGGAACACUUUCUCAUACACAUAGAUUAUUAUUAGUGUUUGAUUGUUUGUUUCAUUUUUAUGAAUUGUAUUGUUUUAAUUUUUCGUUUUAUUUGAAAUUACCUAAGUUAGAUUCAUGCUAAUACUUUAACUGGACCUUGUAUCUUUGCUGGCUGGCUGGCUGUAGAGUUGGUUUCACAUACACAUGAAGUUUCUAAUUAACUAACUUUUAAGUUCAGUUUGGUUUAAACUUGUAUUUACCCAUGGUAAUUCAUUUAAAUUUCUAUUCAUGCUUAUAUAUUAAUUUCAAUGAACUUCUGUAUUUGUGUAUAGCUGGCAAUUUGGGCAAGCUACGUUUAACACACAAAUGUAACUGUCACAAAGGUUUUUUUUAUUAUCAGUUUGUUCUAAACUUUUGUUUGUUUACUAAGGAUGAAAUUGCUUUGUAAUUUAGGUUGUUGGUAGAUUCAUGCCAAUAAUGUAUUUGAACAAACUAGUAUUUUUGUUUAUUGCUGGCAGUUUAUACUAGAAGAGUUUUAACACAUACAAUGUUGUAGUGUUAUUGACUUG